GCCGACAGCCAUAUCACCCUGUAGCCCAAGACUGGCUACCCACUGAAGUUAAGCAGGGCUGAGCCUGGUCAGUACCUGGAUGGGAGACCUCCUGGGAAAACUAGGUUGCUGCUGGAA
Sinocyclocheilus anshuiensis is the source of this 117-nucleotide ribosomal RNA. The record is from Ensembl. Lineage: Eukaryota; Metazoa; Chordata; Actinopteri; Cypriniformes; Cyprinidae.